Molecule: ribosomal RNA, 501 nt
Filed under: Bacillus sp. UST050418-300
Lineage: Bacteria; Bacillati; Bacillota; Bacilli; Caryophanales; Bacillaceae
Description: bacterial SSU rRNA
Rfam family: Bacterial small subunit ribosomal RNA
Source: RNAcentral
ACGGAGCACGCCGCGUGAGUGAUGAAGGUUUUCGGAUCGUAAAGCUCUGUUGUUAGGGAAGAACAAGUGCGAGAGUAACUGCUCGCACCUUGACGGUACCUAACCAGAAAAGCCACGGCUAACUACGUGCCAGCAGCCGCGGUAAUACGUAGGUGGCAAGCGUUGUCCGGAAUUAUUGGGCGUAAAGGGCUCGCAGGCGGUUUCUUAAGUCUGAUGUGAAAGCCCCCGGCUCAACCGGGGAGGGUCAUUGGAAACUGGGAAACUUGAGUGCAGAAAGGAGAGUGGAAUUCCACGUGUAGCGGUGAAAUGCGUAAGAUGUGGAGGAACACCAGUGGCGAAGGCGACUCUCUGGUCUGUAACUGACGCUGAGGAGCGAAAGCGUGGGGAGCGAACAGGAUUAGAUACCCUGGUAGUCCACGCCGUAAACGAUGAGUGCUAAGUGUUAGGGGGUUUCCGCCCCUUAGUGCUGCAGCUAACGCAUUAAGCACUCCGCGCUGGGGA